Molecule: ribosomal RNA, 254 nt
Filed under: uncultured bacterium
Lineage: Bacteria
Description: partial 16S ribosomal RNA
Rfam family: Bacterial small subunit ribosomal RNA
Source: RNAcentral
UACGUAGGGCGCAAGCGUUAUCCGGAAUUAUUGGGCGUAAAGAGCUCGUAGGCGGCUUUGUCAGUCGGGUGUGAAACCUCCAGGCUCAACCUGGAGCCGCCACCCGAUACUGCAAUAGCUAGAGUCCGGUAGGGGAGCAUGGAACUCCUGGUGUAGCGGUGAAAUGCGCAGAUAUCAGGAAGAACACCAGUGGCGAAGGCGGUGCUCUGGGCCGGAACUGACGCUGAGGAGCGAAAGCGUGGGGAGCAAACAGG